This 253-nucleotide ribosomal RNA is filed under the name uncultured bacterium. RNAcentral describes it as "partial 16S ribosomal RNA". It matches the Rfam family "Bacterial small subunit ribosomal RNA", at positions 524 to 776 of the family's 1533-position model. The record is from RNAcentral.
UACGAAGGGGGCUAGCGUUGUUCGGAAUCACUGGGCGUAAAGCGCACGUAGGCGGACUGGUCAGUUGGGGGUGAAAUCCCGGGGCUCAACCUCGGAACUGCCUUCAAUACUGCCAGUCUUGAGUCCGAGAGAGGUGAGUGGAAUUCCUAGUGUAGAGGUGAAAUUCGUAGAUAUUAGGAAGAACACCAGUGGCGAAGGCGGCUCGCUGGCUCGGUACUGACGCUGAGGUGCGAAAGCGUGGGGAGCAAACAGG